UUAUUUACUAAUAUUUUAUUUAAAAAAUGAUAACAAAAUAUUUUAGAAAGUUCUCAAGAUCCAAAAAAGUGUAAUACAUUGAAAAAGACCACAGGUUUAGAAUGGAAAAAUACUUACACGUUUUGAAAUUAUUUCUAUGGAAAUUCAAGGCAACACUGGCAAUAAAACUGUAUAAAAUUUUUAUUUUAUAUAUAUAAACCCACUGUAUUAUCAUCCUGAUUUCAUCAUUAUUAAAAAAGUCACUUAAAUUCUCAAAGAUAAUAAAAGUGAUAGUUCUGAACAGCAUAAAAUUUAAUAUCUAGAGAACUGCUUACGUUUACAGCAAUAGAUUAAAACAAAGAUGAAUUUCCAUCUUAAAGGCACUACCAGCAUCUUGAUUCAUUACAAUUUGAUAUAAUCUCUCAAAAAUUUUACAACAUCCUUCCCUUCAGCUUAGAAAGCUUGGCAUUUUUAUUGCACAAGUUUGAGUGAGGAUCACCAUGGUGGCUAUUAUGCAAAAACAUCUUGUGCACAGCUCUGAGAACUGUGUGAGAGAGCUCACGGCUUUUUCAAGUUGGUGGCUACAAAGGUAGAACUCAAUUGUAACAGACCACGACCCUUCCCUGUUAUUUGUAGGCAUGGAGUGCUAGCAGUAAGGCACAAUUCCUUCACGUGUUCAGAACCCAAAGGACGCUGGUAGCGUCGUGAUUUUCAUGUGGGCUACAUGCCACCCACAAAAAUUAACAUUCACAAUCUACACAAUGCCUGUGCAGAUUUUCGGAGCAGAAACUCACAGUCUGGCCACUUAACAAGUCCUCACAUGUCCUGGAGAAACUUCUCCACCGGUUCUCGAUGCACUCAAAACAAAGCCUGAAAGCGGCUGCAGAGCCUUCAAAUAUUUUUGUAUGGGCUCAGCUGGAAAAGAAGAAAGCUCUUAAUGUGUCUGAGCAAGCUCACACCACCACUGCCAGGCACUGUGUUGUAGAAGAAGACAAUCCCCAGACAGAUGUACUGCGCCAGUUGCUUCUUUCCACAGGUUUUACUACCAGUUAAGAUUGUACAGAGAUGUUUACUUUGCAAAUACAAGAAGAAAAUUAAACAGUUGCUUGUAACAGCACUUCUGCCAGAGCUCCC
RNAcentral lists this long non-coding RNA (1113 nucleotides) under Strigops habroptila (Kakapo). RNAcentral describes it as "lncRNA (ENSSHBG00005003301.1)". The record is from RNAcentral. Lineage: Eukaryota; Metazoa; Chordata; Aves; Psittaciformes; Psittacidae.